GACGAACGCUGGCGGCGUGCCUAAUACAUGCAAGUUGAGCGCUGAAGGUUGGUACUUGUACCAACUGGAUGAGCAGCGCACGGGUGAGUAACGCGUGGGGAAUCUGCCUUUGAGCGGGGGACAACAUUUGGAAACGAAUGCUAAUACCGCAUAAAAACUUUAAACACAAGUUUUAAGUUUGAAAAAUGCAAUUGCAUCACUCAAAGAUGAUCCCGCGUUGUAUUAGCUAGUUGGUGAGGUAAAGGCUCACCAAGGCGAUGAUACAUAGCCGACCUGAGAGGGUGAUCGGCCACAUUGGGACUGAGACACGGCCCAAACGCCUACGGGAGGCAGCAGUAGGGAAUCUUCGGCAAUGGACGAAAGUCUGACCGAGCAACGCCGCGUGAGUGAAGAAGGUUGUCGGAUCGUAAAACUCUGUUGGUAGAGAAGAACGUUGGUGAGAGUGGAAAGCUCAUCAAGUGACGGUAACUACCCAGAAAGGGACGGCUAACUACGUG
RNAcentral lists this ribosomal RNA (497 nucleotides) under uncultured bacterium. RNAcentral describes it as "partial 16S ribosomal RNA". It matches the Rfam family "Bacterial small subunit ribosomal RNA", at positions 28 to 507 of the family's 1533-position model. The record is from RNAcentral.